This 301-nucleotide ribosomal RNA is filed under the name uncultured bacterium. Its description in RNAcentral is "partial 16S ribosomal RNA". It matches the Rfam family "Bacterial small subunit ribosomal RNA", at positions 509 to 807 of the family's 1533-position model. The record is from RNAcentral.
CAGCAGCCGCGGGAAUACAGAGGGUGCGAGCGUUAAUCGGAUUUACUGGGCGUAAAGCGUGCGUAGGCGGCUUUUUAAGUCGGAUGUGAAAUCCCUGAGAUUAACUUAGGAAUUGCAUUCGAUACUGGGAAGCUAGAGUAUGGGAGAGGAUGGUAGAAUUCCAGGUGUAGCGGUGAAAUGCGUAGAGAUCUGGAGGAAUACCGAUGGCGAAGGCAGCCAUCUGGCCUAAUACUGACGCUGAGGUACGAAAGCAUGGGGAGCAAACAGGAUUAGAUACCCGGGUAGUCCCUGUCUCUUAUAC